GCGGGUGUAGCUUAGCUUGGUCUAUAGCGCAGGACUCAUAAUCCUGAGGUCGGGGGCUCGAAUCCCCUCACCCGCA
Molecule: transfer RNA, 76 nt
Filed under: archaeon GW2011_AR15
Lineage: Archaea
Also listed under: 1 other name
Description: tRNA-Met
Rfam family: tRNA
About the family: Transfer RNA (tRNA) molecules are approximately 80 nucleotides in length. Their secondary structure includes four short double-helical elements and three loops (D, anti-codon, and T loops).
Source: RNAcentral